CAAGAAGGGCAGACGUCGUGCACGAGUGUUUUAUAGAUAACGGCGAGCGAACAACAAAAGGAGUAAAAUACAAGGUUCAACAAUAAAUUCAGGGUAACGAACAACAAAAGGAGUAAAACACUCACGUACACAAGGAUCAAAAUUAAAUUCAGGUGACCGAACCACAAAAGAAGUGAGGCACAAACACACACAAGGAUCAGCAUUAAAAUGAGGUG
Long non-coding RNA from Drosophila biarmipes, 215 nucleotides. RefSeq lists it as uncharacterized. The record is from RefSeq and is a predicted model, not a curated record. NCBI's taxonomy places the organism in Eukaryota, Metazoa, Arthropoda, Insecta, Diptera, Drosophilidae. The transcript has 4 exons.